CAGCCGCCGCGGUAAUACCGGCGGCCCGAGUGGCGGUCACUAUUAUUGGGCUUAAAGCGUCCGUAGCCGGGUUGGGAAGUCCUCCGGGAAAUCUGGCCGCUUAACGGUCAGAAUGCCGGAGGAUACUCCCAGCCUAGGGAGCGGGGGAGGCCGAGGGUAUUCCCGGAGUAGGGGGGAAAUCCUAUAAUCCCGGGAGGACCACCUGUGGCGAAGGCGCUCGGCUGGAACGCGUCCGACGGUGAGGGACGAAGGCCAGGGGAGCAAACCGGAUUAGAUACCCGGGUAGUCCUGGCGGUAAACGAUGCGGACUUUGUGUCGGACAAGCUAUGAGCUUGUCCGGUGCCGGAGGGAAACCGUUAAGUCCGCCGCCUGGGGAGUACGGCCGCAAGGCUGAAACUUAAAGGAAUUGGCGGG
RNAcentral lists this ribosomal RNA (414 nucleotides) under uncultured microorganism. RNAcentral's name for it is "bacterial SSU rRNA". It matches the Rfam family "Archaeal small subunit ribosomal RNA", at positions 459 to 872 of the family's 1478-position model. The record is from RNAcentral.